Rattus norvegicus (Norway rat) is the source of this 123-nucleotide small nucleolar RNA. Ensembl annotates it as small nucleolar RNA SNORA17. The record is from Ensembl. Lineage: Eukaryota; Metazoa; Chordata; Mammalia; Rodentia; Muridae.
AAUGCUCCUAGAGGCACUGCAGGCGUGGCUGCUGUGUCACACGUGUGCCAGUAGGUGGCAGAGUCUAGGCCUAUGCUCAGUGUUCUGAUCUAUGAACAUCUGAAUGAUUAGAAGCCUAACAUU